This is a long non-coding RNA of Stegostoma tigrinum, 458 nucleotides long. RefSeq lists it as uncharacterized. Lineage: Eukaryota; Metazoa; Chordata; Chondrichthyes; Orectolobiformes; Stegostomatidae. The transcript has 4 exons. The record is from RefSeq and is a predicted model, not a curated record.
CCAAUCCGAGAAUACUUCCAGACCAAAUAUAGAAAAUUAUAGGGACUCAGUAGAGCUUCACAUAUCCCUUUUGUGUUUCGCAGCUGGUGAUCAUUUCAAAUUGAAAACAAAAUAAAAUACCUAGAAGAUGAACAUCGAUGAAUGCUGGCUGCUAAACCCCUAUCUCACCGAGAAUUGUCAAGUCUUCUAAUUCAUGACGCACUACAUGUAUGGAUGCACAAGGCCUUCGAAUCCAAUCUGAUGUGAAAGAAAAGAGGCUUGACAAGUGAGCCAAGUAAUGACCACCUCAGAAAUGAAGCUCGUGGUGUUCAAAGUGCAGGGACUAAGGAUCAGUCAGCACAGAGCAAAUCUAGGGAACUUAUCGUUGACAUCAGAAAGAAAGAAGGAGGUCACACCCCCAUCUAAAUCAACGGAACUGAGGUUGAGAGGGUGGAGACCAUCAAGAUCCUUGAAGAGAC